This 160-nucleotide ribosomal RNA is filed under the name Saxifraga egregia. RNAcentral describes it as "5.8S ribosomal RNA". It matches the Rfam family "5.8S ribosomal RNA". From Rfam's summary of the family: 5.8S ribosomal RNA (5.8S rRNA) is a component of the large subunit of the eukaryotic ribosome. It is transcribed by RNA polymerase I as part of the 45S precursor that also contains 18S and 28S rRNA. The record is from RNAcentral. Lineage: Eukaryota; Viridiplantae; Streptophyta; Magnoliopsida; Saxifragales; Saxifragaceae. RNAcentral also lists the same sequence under 9 other names.
AUGACUCUCGGCAACGGAUAUCUCGGCUCUUACAUCGAUGAAGAACGUAGCAAAAUGCGAUACUUGGUGUGAAUUGCAGAAUCCCGUGAACCAUCGAGUCUUUGAACGCAAGUUGCGCCCGAACCCUUCGGGUUGAGGGCACGUCUGCCUGGGCGUCACG